This 240-nucleotide long non-coding RNA is filed under the name Mytilus galloprovincialis (Mediterranean mussel). Lineage: Eukaryota; Metazoa; Mollusca; Bivalvia; Mytilida; Mytilidae. The record is from RNAcentral.
GUUCUUGAUACUCUCUUAUGUAGGGACAAGGUUAGUUAAAAUGUGUUGGAAUAACCAUUCUUGUUUUCUAAAAUAGUUUUGAGUGUUUGCUGAUGAUUUGAGUCAUGAACUCUUCAGUGUCAUCAUUGCUUAUAUUGCUUCUUUCCAUUAGUGGAAAAUAUAAUUUCAGUCAGUUUAGAAAGGUGAAUUCCAUAUACCACAUGAUGGGCGAAGUAAAACAUAAGUAAAAAAUAAGUGUGC